This 547-nucleotide ribosomal RNA is filed under the name uncultured bacterium. RNAcentral describes it as "partial 16S ribosomal RNA". It matches the Rfam family "Bacterial small subunit ribosomal RNA", at positions 355 to 907 of the family's 1533-position model. The record is from RNAcentral.
UGGGGAAUAUUGCACAAUGGGCGAAAGCCUGAUGCAGCAACGCCGCGUGAGGGACGACGGCCUUCGGGUUGUAAACCUCUUUAGCAAGGAAGAAGCGAAAGUGACGGUACUUGCAGAAAAAGCGCCGGCUAACUACGUGCCAGCAGCCGCGGUAAUACGUAGGGCGCAAGCGUUAUCCGGAAUUAUUGGGCGUAAAGAGCUCGUAGGCGGUUUGNCGCGUCUGCUGUGAAAACCCGAGGCUCAACCUCGGGCCUGCAGUGGGUACGGGCAGACUAGAGUGCGGUAGGGGAGAUUGGAACUCCUGGUGUAGCGGUGGAAUGCGCAGAUAUCAGGAAGAACACCGAUGGCGAAGGCAGAUCUCUGGGCCGUAACUGACGCUGAGGAGCGAAAACGGGUGGGGAGCAAAACAGGCUUAGAUACCCUGGUAGUCCACCCCGCUAAAACGUUGGAACUAGUUGUGGGGUCCAUUCCAACGGAUUCCGUGACGCAGCUAACGCAUUAAGUUCCCCGCCUGGGGAGUACGGCCGCAAGGCUAAAACUGCAAAUG